RNAcentral lists this ribosomal RNA (492 nucleotides) under uncultured bacterium. Its description in RNAcentral is "partial 16S ribosomal RNA". It matches the Rfam family "Bacterial small subunit ribosomal RNA", at positions 29 to 507 of the family's 1533-position model. The record is from RNAcentral.
AGUGAACGCUGGCGGUAGGCCUAACACAUGCAAGUCGAACGGCAGCACGGUAAGAGCUUGCUCUUACGGGUGGCGAGUGGCGGACGGGUGAGGAAUACAUCGGAAUCUACUUUUUCGUGGGGGAUAACGUAGGGAAACUUACGCUAAUACCGCAUACGACCUACGGGUGAAAGCAGGGGAUCUUCGGACCUUGCGCGAUUGAAUGAGCCGAUGUCGGAUUAGCUGGUUGGCGGGGUAAAGGCCCACCAAGGCGACGAUCCGUAGCUGGUCUGAGAGGAUGAUCAGCCACACUGGAACUGAGACACGGUCCAGACUCCUACGGGAGGCAGCAGUGGGGAAUAUUGGACAAUGGGCGCAAGCCUGAUCCAGCCAUACCGCGUGGGUGAAGAAGGCCUUCGGGUUGUAAAGCCCUUUUGUUGGGAAAGAAAAGCAGCAGGUUAAUACCCCGCUGUUCUGACGGUACCCAAAGAAUAAGCACCGGCUAACUUCGUG